This 253-nucleotide ribosomal RNA is filed under the name uncultured bacterium. Its description in RNAcentral is "partial 16S ribosomal RNA". It matches the Rfam family "Bacterial small subunit ribosomal RNA", at positions 524 to 776 of the family's 1533-position model. The record is from RNAcentral.
GACGUAGGAGGCGAGCGUUAUCCGGAUUCACUGGGCGUAAAGCGCAUGUAGGCGGAUGUCUAAGUCGUGUGUUAAAGCCCCUGGCUCAACUGGGGGAGGUCAUGCGAGACUGGAUGACUUGAGGGCAACAGAGGCACGUGGAACUCCCGGUGUAGUGGUGAAAUGCGUAGAUAUCGGGAGGAACACCAGUGGCGAAGGCGACUUCCUGGCCUGUUCUUGACGCUGAGGCGCGAAAGCUAGGGGAGCAAACGGG